UACGUAGGGUGCGAGCGUUGUCCGGAAUUAUUGGGCGUAAAGAGCUCGUAGGCGGUUUGUUGCGUCUAUCGUGAAAACCUGCAGCUUAACUGUGGGCUUGCGGUGGAUACGGGCAGACUUGAGUUCGGUAGGGGAGACUGGAAUUCCUGGUGUAGCGGUGAAAUGCGUAGAUAUCUGGAGGAACACCGGUGGCGAAGGCGGCAUCCUGGACCAAUUCUGACGCUGAGUGAGCGAAAGCCAGGGGAGCAAACGGG
Molecule: ribosomal RNA, 254 nt
Filed under: uncultured bacterium
Lineage: Bacteria
Description: partial 16S ribosomal RNA
Rfam family: Bacterial small subunit ribosomal RNA
Source: RNAcentral